This 411-nucleotide unclassified non-coding RNA is filed under the name Hevea brasiliensis (rubber tree). Lineage: Eukaryota; Viridiplantae; Streptophyta; Magnoliopsida; Malpighiales; Euphorbiaceae. The record is from RNAcentral.
AAGAAGUUCAAUGGUAGUUAUUGAUUUUGAAGGUUGGAUAGAUAACUGUGCAAUUCAUUUCUGGGUUUUUCUGGGUUUUGUGAGUAGUUUGAUGGGUCGAAGUUGGAUUUUUGAAUUGUGAGUGAUAUGUUGGAUUUUAGGAUAGGUGGUAAAAGGGGGGCUAGGGUUAGGGUUUUGUGUUGAAAGGUUUGAAAUUUGGGGUUAGGUUCUAUUUAUGAGUUGGGGAAGUAGUAGGGUUCAGAUGAUGGAAGAACAUGACCUUGAAGAAGGGGAAGCAUGUUAUUACAACAAGGAUGAUGAUGAUACAAGCUUUGACCCUGAUAUAGCACUCUCUUACAUUGAUGAGAAACUUCAAAGUGUCCUGGGUCAUUUUCAGAAAGAUUUUGAAGGAGGUGUUUCUGCCGAGAAUUU